UACCAGCACCCCGAGUGGUCGGGACGUUUAUUGGGCCUAAAGCAUCCGUAGCCGGUUCUACAAGUCUUCCGUUAAAUCCACCUGCUCAACAGAUGGGCUGCGGAAGAUACUAUGGAGCUAGGAGGCGGGAGAGGCAAGCGGUACUCGAUGGGUGGGGGUAAAAUCCGUUGAUCCAUUGAAGACCACCAGUGGCGAAGGCGGCUUGCCAGAACGCGCUCGACGGUGAGGGAUGAAAGCUGGGGGAGCAAACCGG
RNAcentral lists this ribosomal RNA (253 nucleotides) under uncultured bacterium. Its description in RNAcentral is "partial 16S ribosomal RNA". It matches the Rfam family "Archaeal small subunit ribosomal RNA", at positions 474 to 727 of the family's 1478-position model. The record is from RNAcentral.